Molecule: long non-coding RNA, 1227 nt
Filed under: Homo sapiens (human)
Lineage: Eukaryota; Metazoa; Chordata; Mammalia; Primates; Hominidae
Description: HSALNT0103528
Source: RNAcentral
CCCGCCCAAAUCUCAUAUCGAAUUGGAGAAGCCUGGUGGGAGGUAACUGGAUCAUGGAGGCAGAUUUCCUCCUUGCUGUUCUCAUGACAGUGAGUGAGUUCUCAUGAGAUCUGAUGGUUGAAAAUUGUGUGACCUUCCCCCUUCACUCUCUCUCUUUCUCCUGCCACCAUGUGAAGAAGGUGCUUGCUUCCCCUUGGUGUUCUGCCAUAAAUUUUAUCAUUUCUGGAUUGCUGUCUGUCAUUUUGGGAAGAAAAUCAAACAAGCAUCUGCCCUGCUCAGUCCUGGGUGGAGAAGCUACCAGAACCACAUCUCCUGUCUGUCCCACCAUAAGUCUCUGCUUCAUUCACGCUUUCAUGUGUCGUGCAUCAAGCAAGCAUUUGCCUGUAGGCUUGGGGAGCUCUGAGAGGGGUUGAGAGUGAACAAAAUUAAUCAAAUCGUAUAACAGAAGAGGAAGUCCCAUCCUGCCGAGGAUCCUGGAUGUGAGAACCUGCUGCUGGCCUGGUGGGAUCGUGGUGCCCCAGGAGCAUGAACUGCUCAGGAGCAGACCCUGACCAGAUCCCCUGCAGGCCUGGAACAGCCUGAUCAGCAGCCUCCUAAGCCCCAUGGCUGCCACAGUGGGCCUCAUUGUCCUUCCCUAUCACCUAGCCGGGGUGUUCCCAGCUGCCAGACAGUGCCAACUGGUGGUGCCUGCCCAUCAGUGCCCCAAGACAGCCACUACUUUUCGAAGAAUGAGACCACCAGCUGCUUUGUGGCCAGCUCCAGCUUACUGGUGAGUAUUUUUAGGUAGAAUGUUCCAGACUAGUGAAGUCUUUGAGAUUUUCUGCUUCUUGUUCACUGCUUCCUUCUGAUGUGGACCAUGCGGAAAGAGGCAGAACACAGGAACCCACACAUGGGAGAAUAGCAGAAUGUGUUUCCUGACCCAAAGUGACACAGUGAUCACCAGCAUGCCCCAGGCAGCAUUUGCUGACACCGUCCUGGAGAUGAACAAGGAGUGCACCCUUAGUGUGGGGGCAGAGAGAGAGAGAGCACAUUGUCUGCAGGAGUCAGCUGAAUGAUCUCACAGACCCCACCUGCUGGGCUCUUCCAUUUUAUCACAAUUAUUCCGCCUGUUCACGUGCAGAGAGAACACUUGGGGCAGAUUUUAAGACCUUAGAGAGUAACUUGUUUACAAAUAAAAUAUCUCUUUGAUGAUGUAUUUGGAUUCCAUGUCAUUUUGCCACAUUUCUC